This 920-nucleotide long non-coding RNA is filed under the name Hordeum vulgare. RNAcentral's name for it is "long non-coding RNA (HVUL_LNC020257)". The record is from RNAcentral. Lineage: Eukaryota; Viridiplantae; Streptophyta; Magnoliopsida; Poales; Poaceae.
UGUGCGUGGUGGUCAUUGAAAACAUCUCCGGUGUUGCUCGCUUUCUGGACGAAGCCAAGCCAUUGUAGCCGCAGUCGGCGGCAGGAGCUAUAGUGGACGACACCGCCGAGGUGGGCCGCAUACUACUGCCGCGCCGGGCGCUGGGACAUGGGGAGCCGCCGCCCAACCUUAUGCGCUCGCCGGAGGGCGUCGCCGCGGAGGACCGGCCGGUAGUCGUGGCUUCGGGUGCAGACCAGCUGGAGGGCUGCACAAUUAGGCCCGGUGUGAAGGUCUCGCCGUGACCUCCAUGAACAAUGCACAAAACAACAUGUAGGUCCCGGUUCCUUUUUCUGGUACAAAGCAAUUUGCGUCAGUGUAUAGAUGUACAUGAAAAAUAAUCAAUUGACUGAUUACGGGAUGAUGAUAAGGAGUAAAUUCUUGAUUUAUUUCCCUUCUUAUCAGAUGCCAAUUUUUUUUUGACCAUUCGGUGCCGCGUCUGGCAGCCGCCGACGGAUAGCAGCCCCACGAACGCGCGGGAGGGCGAAGCAGUGCAGGGUCGGGAGCCGUCUCGCGCGCUAAGAGUCACCGCCGUCGUGCCUUGCGCCUCAUCGGUAUGACACAGCCGUUCCCCAAGGAGAUGUGGCCUCUGCUGCCGACGAUGGUUGGAAAUGUCGUGGAGGCUCUUUCUUGUGUGCGGCAUGUCGUUCUCGGUUACGAUCGUGCGUAAAACGAGAUUGAAUAAAAGUGAAUUGGACGAUUAGUCCUUUUUUAUUGAUUCUUAAGUAUAUAUAUGUAUAUAUAUAUCUGAAAGAGAUGAGAAGAGAGGUGUCUGUUCGGAGGCAUCCCUCCUAAAUUUCUCCUAAACAGAUGCAUGUUGACAAUAGAGAGAGAAAAUACAUGACUGUUCGGGAUUGGACACACCAUUUACUAAUUAAUUUCUA